GAUGAACGCUGGCGGCGUGCCUAAUACAUGCAAGUCGAGCGAACAGACGAGGAGCUUGCUCCUCUGACGUUAGCGGCGGACGGGUGAGUAACACGUGGAUAACCUACCUAUAAGACUGGGAUAACUUCGGGAGACCGGAGCUAAUACCGGAUAAUAUAUUGAACCGCAUGGUUCAAUAGUGAAAGACGGUUUUGCUGUCACUUAUAGAUGGAUCCGCGCCGCAUUAGCUAGUUGGUAAGGUAACGGCUUACCAAGGCAACGAUGCGUAGCCGACCUGAGAGGGUGAUCGGCCACACUGGAACUGAGGCACGGUCCAGACUCCUACGGGAGGCAGCAGUAGGGAAUCUUCCGCAAUGGGCGAAAGCCUGACGGAGCAACGCCGCGUGAGUGAUGAAGGUCUUCGGAUCGUAAAACUCUGUUAUUAGGGAAGAACAAAUGUGUAAGUAACUAUGCACGUCUUGACGGUACCUAAUCAGAAAGCCACGGCUAACUACGUG
RNAcentral lists this ribosomal RNA (497 nucleotides) under uncultured bacterium. Its description in RNAcentral is "partial 16S ribosomal RNA". It matches the Rfam family "Bacterial small subunit ribosomal RNA", at positions 28 to 507 of the family's 1533-position model. The record is from RNAcentral.